UGGAGGACUGAGAAAGUUGAGCAGCUUGUGUUGUGCUGUUCUGACUGGUUAUAACCUCCAAGAGUAACAAACAAACCAUGCAAGUUAAGUGGCUCUGUCAUAAUCAGAGCUAAUGUGUGUGUGAUUGUGAACAAAAU
RNAcentral lists this small nucleolar RNA (137 nucleotides) under Mola mola (ocean sunfish). RNAcentral describes it as "Small nucleolar RNA SNORA47 (ENSMMOG00000002879.1)". It matches the Rfam family "Small nucleolar RNA SNORA47". The record is from Rfam by way of RNAcentral. Lineage: Eukaryota; Metazoa; Chordata; Actinopteri; Tetraodontiformes; Molidae.